CUUUUUUUAUUUUUGCAUGUAACGGUCGGGCCUUCCCCGGGCCCGUGCUGCCCUCUUCCGGCACCGGCGGCUUUUUUUUACAACCCAAAGUUUGUAAACAAGAGUCACGUGUUGGCGAGGGGGCGGCGGGUCACACCGUGUGUGUCCCUCCCACCACCGGUGCAGCCCCCGUGUCCCCAAGGAUGCUCGGGUGAGGAUCUGGGAGCGGGCAGCAUCCGCCUGACGAGCUCCGCCUGUCUCCCGCAGGAACACGAGUGUACAGCCCGCCGGAGUGGGUCCGCUACCACCGCUACCACGGCCGUUCAGCAACAAUCUGGUCCCUGGGCGUCCUGCUCUAUGACAUGGUCUGCGGGGAUGUCCCCUUCGAGCAGGACGAGGACAUUGUUAGGGGCCAACUCUUCUUCCGCCAGCCGAUCUCCCUCGAGUGCCAACACCUCAUCAGGUGGUGUUUGUCCUUGCGGCCUUCAGACAGACCGUCUCUGGAGGACGUUUUCAACCACUCUUGGCUGCAAGGCAUUCACCUGCCCUAGGAGAUGGCAGACACCCCAUCUGCACGGUUUGGCCCAGGACCCUGGCAAAAAAACAGCUCCAGGCAUCUCCUGGCCAUAAGAAGCAAAGAAAACCAGGCUUCCUCACAAGCGUAGCACUGAGCAGGGAUCAUCAGAUGGGAACACGCACAUCUUGUCCCAAAGCUGGGCUGGAAACCUGGUCUUGCAAGUUCCGGUGGCCGCCAUCCAACCCAGCUGCCCUGGACUCUAUCUGAAUGACCCUGUCUCAUUUGCUGGUCUUGCCAGUAAUUAUUUUUUGUUUGUUUUGGUCUGGUUUUGGUUCUGGUUUCGGUGGCUCCCAAACAUCUUCCUGAUCACCUGAAUUCGGGACGGCGAGAGGAUCAGAGACCUUACUGCAAGAAAAGCUUCAACAGGGGAAAAACUGCAGGGGGAGGGCAGGUACCGUGGCUGAAUGGGUCUCCUCCGCUGUCACCGUGCUCGAGUGCCUUCAGUUGAGAUCUGGGCUGUGCUGGAGGAUAUACUUGAAUUUUCCUACUCUGCUGCUUUUCCAAGACUCACCUGGGUAUAUAUUUCCUCUUUUCAAAAAGAAAACAGGUCAGAAGACAUUUGGGAGCCAAGCAGGCGAUCCCCUCACCUCCCGUGCCUCCAUAUCGCGUGGAUUUUCUGGGUUUCUUUGCUUCCCUGUGCCCUCACGAAUGCACAAACAAUGCAAACCAACAGAGCUGUAAAUGUGUUCAAAGUUAUAUAGGAGCGAAAUUUGAUGUACAGUUGUUAAUAGUGAUAAUGUUUUACUUUUCUUUUUUUUCCCAGUUUUUAAUUUAUUUUCAUGAAUUUGUUUUUUUUUUAAAGAGAGAGUUCUAGCCGGUAGGAUAACUUAUUUAUUUAUUUAUAAUUCACGUGGGUUUCCAACCCACGCCUUGCUUCUACAGCUGCUGAUCCCCCGGUUUUCCAUUUGGGUCUUCCCUCCGUGUCUGUCCCGUGUCCAUCCCCAGCCCGCAGUGUUUCUGUCUGGCGGAGGUGCGGAGCGGCUGCCUGCUCCCCAGCUGUCUCUGUACAUACUUCUGGUUGCUGUUGUUUCCUUGCCAUGUGUUUUGUUUUUUCCCCCACGGGUGUCUUGUUUGGGACUGGGGAGGGGGGAGCUGGGCCGGGCUGUCCGCGCUGUCGAGUCUUUAUAUGUAACUAAGUGUUUAGCCGGCGGGUCUUUUCUUAAUAGUUCAUAUUGUACAGGGGAAUUCAGAAAUCUUAUUUUUUUUAUGCAGUUUUAAAUAAAAACAAACCACUUGA
This is a long non-coding RNA of Athene cunicularia (burrowing owl), 1793 nucleotides long. RefSeq lists it as uncharacterized. The record is from RefSeq and is a predicted model, not a curated record. Lineage: Eukaryota; Metazoa; Chordata; Aves; Strigiformes; Strigidae. The transcript has 2 exons.